Cucumis melo (muskmelon) is the source of this 415-nucleotide long non-coding RNA. RefSeq lists it as uncharacterized. NCBI's taxonomy places the organism in Eukaryota, Viridiplantae, Streptophyta, Magnoliopsida, Cucurbitales, Cucurbitaceae. The transcript has 3 exons. The record is from RefSeq and is a predicted model, not a curated record.
AAUUCCAAAACUUUAAAGAAGAGGAAUAGAAGAACCUGAGAAAAGGAAGUCUUUUCUACCUAUUCACUCUCCCUUCUUCCUCGUUUAUCUCGUUCCUUAACAACCACAUAUUAAAUUUGCACUGAGAGAUACAGAAAGAUAAGGCCACUACUUCUGAAAAAAUAAACCGACAAUAUUUCGAGAUCCUCAUUUCAACAACCAUGUGUGUCUCUAAGUGCAAGCAGAAAAACUAAAAAAACUAUACAAGUACACAACUAAAGUCAAACUAGACGAUGCACAUGUCGCCUAUCAAGGUAGAGUGAAGGUAAUAUAAGAAAAAUUGAUUCCCGGACAACCAAUUUUUCUUAAAUUACCUUAAAACUACCGAGGACGAUCUCUAAAAUCAAAAUGAAUAAUGAUAAAGGAAAGAUCAAUA